RNAcentral lists this ribosomal RNA (327 nucleotides) under uncultured Bradyrhizobium sp. RNAcentral's name for it is "partial 16S ribosomal RNA". The stretch from base 1 to 151 matches the Rfam family "Bacterial small subunit ribosomal RNA", at positions 367 to 535 of the family's 1533-position model. The record is from RNAcentral. Lineage: Bacteria; Pseudomonadati; Pseudomonadota; Alphaproteobacteria; Hyphomicrobiales; Nitrobacteraceae.
GCUAAUAUGGAGGGCACCCUGAUCCAGCCAUGCCGCGUGAGUGAUGAAGGCCCUAGGGUUGUAAAGCUCUUUUGUGCGGGAAGAUAAUGACGGUACCGCAAGAAUAAGCCCCGGCUAAUUUCGUGCCAGCAGCCGCGGUAAUGAUUUGGGCCGUGUCUCAGUCCAUAAGUGGCUCAUCAUCCUCUCAGACCAGCUUUUCUUGAGAGGCGCGUUGGUGAGCCAUUACCUCACCAACUAGGGGGGGGGGGGGGGGGGGGCGGUUCUUUCGGCGAUAAAUCUUUCCCCGUAAGGGCUUUAUCCGGUAUUAGCUGAAGUUUCCCUUCGUUG